UCACUCUUCGGUCCAGCAGCCCAAGAGGCAAGAGCUCCGCUCAGCUCCCCACCACCAUGGGCGCCGCCCUGCUCCUCGUUCUCCUCGCCGCGGCCGUGGCCCUCGCCCUGGCCGGCGGCGACGCGCACCCGGGCUACUACUCCGACGACGAGGGCGGCACCACCUGCACGGUGGGCGCGGAGCUGCGGGUGGUGGAGGAGCGCGGGCCCGGGCGCAUCAUCGACAUCACGCACGCGUACGUGCCGGACCUGCCGGCGUUCGCGACGGGGGCGGUCACGGGGCCCGUGGUGCGCCUCAAGGAGUCCAUGGCGGACGGGUCCGAGUACAACCUCUCGGAGCUGAGGAUGGACUGCCACACGGGCACCCACGUCGACGCGCCGGGACACAUGAACCAGGGUCACUUCGCCGCCGGCAUCGACGUCGACGCGCUCGACCUCGACGUCCUCAACGGUGAGCUACGUCAUCUCAAAUAAAAAAAAAAAGGGGACCUGGAAUGGCGUUUGGGCUGGCGCACAUCGAGCUGGCUCUCGCGGCGCUGCUGCUGUUCCACUUCGACUGGCAGGGAGUUGCCGGGCGUGGGCGGGAUGGCGGCUGUCUGGCUGAGCUGGACAUGCCCGAAGCCUUCGGGAUCACGACUGGGCUAAGACUGACCUUGUGCUUGUCGCGGUGCCUCGAUCCCGUCCCGGUCUAUCUCCAUCGUUGAGUAGACAUAGGCCUUGUUUGUUUAGUUCCCAAAAUGUUUUAAGAUUUCCCGUCAUAUUGAAUUUUGCGGUACAUGCAUAACGCAUUAAAUAUAGAUAGAAAAAUAACUAAUUGUACAGUUUACCUAUAAUUUAUAAGACGAAUAUUUUAAGCCUAAUUAGUCUAUAAUUAAAUAAUAAUUAUCAAAUAAAACCGCCUAAAAUUUUUCACGAACUAAAUAAGGCCAUAGUUUGUUCUUUCCUUGGAGAAUCUACGUACCUCUAGUCAUAAAAGUUUAGUCUGUUGUGAACAAAACGCAAUAUGGCAAGACUGGAAAAAUCGGUAAGGAAAAAGAACUAAAGUAAGUCGUCAUCCAAAGACCGGAAAAAUGGGUAAAAGAAAAUACUAAAGCAAGACAUCGUCAGAUGAUCACCACAGACACCAUGGAGUCCAAACCCUCCCUCCCACCUUACCUCAUCUGUCGACCCCAGCUAGCUAGUAUAUGGACGCAUUGUCAAAGAAGAUUUCUCCCCUUCCCCAAAUCACACUUUCCCGCCUCCGCCUCCGCCUCUAUUGUUUUGGUGGUCCGUCACUAGUGGAUCAACCACCCUACAUCGCCGCCAUCCUUGAUGGCUAUGAAUUUGACACUUCUACCAAACAAUACUCCGCAACCAUUCCCCCAGUAGUGGUCUUGUCAUCAUCCGCUAUUCCAUCCACGCACCAUCAUCGUAGGCCACCUACUUUAAAUCCGAUAGACACAUCUGUCCUCCCGAACCCCAGCCCUAACCUUGAAACCUUAACCCCAACAUCUUAGCCCUAGUCCUAGCUAGAGGCCAGUUGCCGAUGGUUGCAAGAUCGUCGAAGCGUCACCACUAUGGGUUCUGGACACAUUUCUUACUUUUGUUGUUCUCUCUCCAAUCGCUAUCCACCACCACCACCCAUUCCGCCCAUGCAUCACCACCACAUGGCACCCAACCCUAUGGGCACAUAUGCCCUUCCUAACCCUUAACAAAACAUAUUCGUCCUAAUCUAAAUCAAAGGUUGCUGAUGUUGUAGGAUCAUCGGAGCAUCACCACUGUGGAUUCCGGUCCCAUUUUUUACUUUUUUCAUUCCCUUUGAUCAGUUUAUUUCAGUUUUUUUAGUGUUUCCUUGCCAAAUCAGGAGGGGCUCUUGAAUUUAAUCUUAACUCGAGAGGCUUCUCGAUUUAGCUUUUACCUAUAACAAUAAAACGUUGAUAAUUAUACAUAGAGGUAAACAUAUACAUACAAUGGGUAAAGAAAGCUUUGAAUCAAUCAAACAAGAGUACCUUUUCAAAGUGCUAGUGGCGUACGUCCCGCCACCCUAGAUAAACUCUUCGUCGACUUCCCUAAUAAACUCUACUUUGACCACCAUACACAUCUUGUGAUUCUUGUCAUUAGUGACAACUCAUACUACCCCGCUGGCCGGCUGGGAUGGCAACUAGGGGUUAGUUCCUCACAAAUUUUACAAAAUUUUUUAGAUUUUCUAUCAAAUCGAAUCUUUUGGCACAUGUAUGGAGUAUUAAAUAUAGAUUAUAAAAUAAUUAAUUGCACAGUUUGUCUGUAAUUUAUGAGACAAAUUUUUUAAGUCUAGUUAGUUUAUAAUUAAAUAAUAUUUGUCAAAUACAAACGAAAUUAAGAUAGUGUCUAUUUUAUAAAAAUAUUUACAACUAAACAAGGCCUAGGAGUUGAUCUGAGGUGGCGGCAUGGCGCUGCCGUCCCUGCGCCGCACCCCACGCCACAAAAAAACUACUCUUGUUUGAUCGUUUCCAAACUAUCUUUGCCCACACCGUUUGUUUACUGCCGUGUAUUGUGUACGUAUAUCUCGUGACCAGUCGUGCGAACCUCGUCGUAGCUUGUCGCGGUCGCUUUCGAUUUGGGAUCAUGAAACUUUGAUCCUUUGAUUGCGCACAUGCUGACAUGAAACCCAACUACUCCAGUGGGCAGUGGAUGAGUGAGACGGCCUGACUUUUGGUUUCACGUACUACGUAAACUGCACGCCCCUUUCAUUACGAGACAAAUAUCACUUGGCUGAUAAGAAAUGAUUAAAAGUAUUGUUCGCUGAUUUGUUGUUCAGUGGUUUUUGUUUGGCUGAUAAGCCGUAGCAGAAAGUACUGUUAGCUGAUUUGUUAUGAGAAAAAAACACUGAUGAAUGACUGGUUGAUUCAGUUGAUAAGCUCAAGCGAACAAUAGAGCUUGCUCGAUCGAGUACUGCGAAGAUGUUUUUUCAAAGCCGAGCGAAAAGAAACUGCCCUACCUGAAAACCAUAUAUAGGCCUUAUUUAGUUGGAGCCAAAAUCCGAAAACUUUUUAAGAUUCUCCGUCCCAUCAAAUCUUACGGCACAUACGUGAAGCAUUAAAUAUAUAUAACAAAAUUAAUUGUACAGUUUAUUUAUAAUUUACGAGAUAAAUCUUUUAAAUCUAAUUAAUUUAUAAUUGAAUAAUAAUUACCAAAUACAAACAAAACAUUUAAUAUACAUGAAGCUGUGCUACCUCAGCAACUAAACAAGCCAUACAAUAUGCCACAACGUGGUGCACGGCAUAGUGCGCAUUUUUUUAAUUGGUGUCUCGGCCAUAUCCACCGUCUGAUUAAAAUCUGGCGCUCCACGGUCACGCUCGGGCCACGGUCGCAGCUUUCAGUAGCCGCCCGCAGCAGCCCCAAGUUCGGAUCUCCCGCAGGCCGCGGCUACCGUGCCGGUUGGCGGUUUGCGAUUGCGACGGCGACGGCGACGUGGCGGCGGACGAGCGUCCAUAAAUCCCGCGCGCGGUGGAAUAGUCUGCCAACCGUCACUCUCCGUCUCCGGCGCGAGCCAGCAGCAGCUCCCAGUCCAGAUUCCGUCGGUCCAGCAGCCCGAGAGAACUCAGCUCAGCUGCGCUCCGCUCCCCACACACACCACACCACACCGUCAUGGGCGCCGCCCUGCUGCUCGCGCUUCUCCUCGCGGCCGCCGCGCCGCUCUCCGCGUCGGCGGCGGUCACAGCCGGCGACGCGCACCCGGGCUACUCCGACGAGGGCACGUGCACGGUGGACGCGGGGGUGGGCGCGGAGCUGCGGCGGCUGGAGGAGCGCGGGCCCGGCGGGCGCAUCAUCGACAUCACGCACGCGUACGUGCCGGACCUGCCGGCGUUCGCGACGGGGGCGGUCACGGGGCCCGUGGUGCGCCUCAAGGAGUCCAUGGCGGACGGGUCCGAGUACAACCUCUCGGAGCUGCGGAUGGAGUGCCACAUGGGCACCCACGUCGACGCGCCGGGACACAUCAACCAGGCCCACUUCGCCGCCGGCCUCGACGUCGACACGCUCGACCUCGAAGUCCUCAACGGUGAGCUACUACGUCAUCAUCUAAGAAAUCCCUGCUCUUUGGGCGAUUGGGCCGGCGUCAGUUCAGAUGAACAUGG
Molecule: long non-coding RNA, 4093 nt
Filed under: Sorghum bicolor (sorghum)
Lineage: Eukaryota; Viridiplantae; Streptophyta; Magnoliopsida; Poales; Poaceae
Description: long non-coding RNA (SBIC_LNC005972)
Source: RNAcentral